GAAGCUGGACGUGGCGUACCGGCCGUCAGGCUUCUGGUAGCGAAGAGUCACUGGAGAUGAAGGAACGGCGUUUACAGACAGAUGAGAGGGAGCAAGGAGAUGCAGGGAAAGGCAGCAGUUUGAACAAGUGGCUGGGUUGAUGACGCUGAAGAGAGAGACUUCCUUGGAGCAGGUCUGGCAGACAGUCCGGAGACACCAGCAGGUCAUAGACUGAAACAGGACACGGCUGUUAAAACAUAUUCUGGUGUUGUCAAUUUUAGAAGAGAUUUGUCCUUAUUUCUGUCUGGAUGUCUUUGGCUCAGUGUCCCAUAGACGCCACUGAACCAGUGCAUUAGGGUAUUUUAUUAUGUGUGGCAGCGCAUGUGCACACACAUGCCGCAUUCUCCUGUUUGUGUCCUGCUGUGUUUUAUAGAGUGUUAGACAGAACUAGAAACAGUAGCUGCAAACUCUUUCCAUUGGACGCACACACUCAUCAA
Molecule: long non-coding RNA, 476 nt
Organism: Betta splendens (Siamese fighting fish)
Lineage: Eukaryota; Metazoa; Chordata; Actinopteri; Anabantiformes; Osphronemidae
Exons: 3
Source: RefSeq, a predicted model, not a curated record